GACGAACGCUGGCGGCGUGCUUAACACAUGCAAGUCGAACGGAAAGGCCAUGCUUUUGUGGGGUGCUCGAGUGGCGAACGGGUGAGUAACACGUGAGUAAACUGCCCUUAACUUUGGGAUAACUUCAGGGAACUGGGGCUAAUACCGGAUAGGAGCUCCUGAUGCAUGGUGGGGGUUGGAAAGUUUCGGCGGUUGGGGAUGGACUCGCGGCUUAUCAGCUUGUUGGUGGGGUAGUGGCUUACCAAGGCUUUGACGGGUAGCCGGCCUGAGAGGGUGACCGGCCACAUUGGGCCUGAGAGACGGCCCAGACUCCUACGGGAGGCAGCAGUGGGGAAUAUUGCACAAUGGGCGGAAGCCUGAUGCAGCAACGCCGCGUGCGGGAUGACGUCCUUCGGGUUGUAAACCGCUUUCGCCUGUGACGAAGCGUGAGUGACGGUAAUGGGUAAAGAAGCACCGGCUAACUACGUG
RNAcentral lists this ribosomal RNA (468 nucleotides) under uncultured bacterium. RNAcentral's name for it is "partial 16S ribosomal RNA". It matches the Rfam family "Bacterial small subunit ribosomal RNA", at positions 28 to 507 of the family's 1533-position model. The record is from RNAcentral.